RNAcentral lists this ribosomal RNA (624 nucleotides) under uncultured bacterium. Its description in RNAcentral is "bacterial SSU rRNA". It matches the Rfam family "Bacterial small subunit ribosomal RNA", at positions 114 to 740 of the family's 1533-position model. The record is from RNAcentral.
CACGUGGGCAAUCUGCCCUUCGAUGGGGAAUAACUCCGGGAAACCGAAGCUAAUUCCGCAUAACAUUCCUUGGACUCCGGUUCGAGGAUUCAAAGCCGUAAGGCGUCGAAGGAGGAGCCCGCGCCCGAUUAGCUAGUUGGUAGGGUAACGGCCUACCAAGGCUUUGAUCGGUAGCUGGUCUGAGAGGAUGGCCAGCCACACUGGAACUGAGACACGGUCCAGACUCCUACGGGAGGCAGCAGUGGGGAAUCUUGCGCAAUGGGCGAAAGCCUGACGCAGCGACGCCGCGUGGGGGAUGAAGCAUCUCGGUGUGUAAACCCCUUUCGACUGGGACGAAUGCCUCGCAAGAGGAGUGACGGUACCAGUAGAAGAAGCCCCGGCUAACUACGUGCCAGCAGCCGCGGUAAGACGUAGGGGGCCAGCGUUGUUCGGAAUUACUGGGUGUAAAGGGUCAGUAGGCGGUGUGGCAAGUUGGGAGUGAAAUCUAUGGGCUCAACCCAUAGGCUGCUUCCGAAACUGCCAUGCUAGAGUGUGGGAGAGGCGCGUGGAAUUGCAGGUGUAGCGGUGAAAUGCGUAGAUAUCUGCAGGAACACCCGUGGCGAAAGCGGCGCGCUGGACCACAAC